AAUUCUUAAAGAUUUCAGAAUAAUUGAAAUUUGUUGAGAGCAAAAUGCAUGAUCUGAAAUUUAAAUUUGUGUUUGUGUGUUGGCUGUCUAUUCGAGUCUUGUUUUUGUAAUUUAAAUUUGUGCAACCGUGACUUAGGAGCGAUUUAUGCUUCCAAUAAGUUGGUUGGGUAAGGAACUACGGGUUCUUGACUAACAAUUACUUGCAGUAUGUAUAAUUAUCCAGUGAGCCUUAACUUUGCAUUUUACUAGUGUUUAUAGAA
Arachis ipaensis is the source of this 260-nucleotide non-coding RNA. The record is from RefSeq and is a predicted model, not a curated record. NCBI's taxonomy places the organism in Eukaryota, Viridiplantae, Streptophyta, Magnoliopsida, Fabales, Fabaceae.